UCUGCUUUGGGUGGCCACACGU
This 22-nucleotide non-coding RNA is filed under the name Arabidopsis thaliana (thale cress). Lineage: Eukaryota; Viridiplantae; Streptophyta; Magnoliopsida; Brassicales; Brassicaceae. The record is from RNAcentral.